This 1423-nucleotide long non-coding RNA is filed under the name Equus caballus (horse). RNAcentral's name for it is "lncRNA (ENSECAG00000046443.1)". The record is from RNAcentral. Lineage: Eukaryota; Metazoa; Chordata; Mammalia; Perissodactyla; Equidae.
AGAAAACAUGGCUUGUUGGAAACUCAGAAGACUUGCCUGCUUAGCGGUGCUAAAAAACCACGCCUGAGCCCACUGUCGGUUUACAUCUGAGACUUACAGGGAAGACCUGGGUCUCACCUGAGGCCCCAUCUGUUCUUGAGGCAACACCUGGGUUCUUUUCAACACUCAAUAGACAGAUUAGUCCUGAGCUAACAUCUGCCGCCAGCCCGCUCUUUUUGCUGAGGAAGACUGGCCCUGAGCUAACAUCCAUGCCCAUCUUCCUCUACUUUAUAUGUAGGAUGCCUACCACAACAUGGCUUGCCAAGCGGUGCCAUGUCUGCACCUGGGAUCCGAACCGGUAAACCUCAUGCUGCCGAAGUGGAACGUGCAAACUUAACCAUUGCGCCACCAGGCUGGCCACCCCCUUACCUAUUUUUAUAUUGGCUUGCUUUUCUAUUUAUUGAUUUGUAAGUGUUCUUACCUCCUCUGGAUAUAAACUCUUUGUCAGCCCCGUGCCACUCUAUUGACCUCUUAUUUUAUUUUUUCUUAAUGCUCCUGAUAUGUAGUGUUUUUAUCAUUUUCUAUGUAGCCUGUGAUUUCAGCUUGGAUUUUCUCCUUGAACCAAGAAUUGUUUAAGAAAAAGGUUUUUUUUUUCCUGUUUUCCUGCUUUGUUAUUAAUUUCUCAUUUACUACAUUGGGAUCAAAGAUGUUGUUUAUACUACUUCUACUUUUGAGAAUUAACAUUUUCUCUGUGACCUAGUCCAUUUUAUGGCUCUUCAAUAAGCACUUGAAAAGAAAAUAUCUUAUGUAUAUAGAGGGAAUAAAAAUUAUAUAUAUUACACAUAUUAUAUAUAUAAUCAGUCUGCUCUACUUUAUCAUGGUAAAUCCUGGUAAAAAUAAGUAAUCUUAUUUUUCAUUCCUUUGUUUGCUAUGGACUGGGAUUAGAGUCUCCUAAGACUGAUGUGCUUUUCUCUGCUUCUCUUUGAAUCUCCUCAGAUUUUGUUUUAUGAGUAUUACUCUAAAGCUCAUUGAUGUUCACACUGCUUUAUCUUCUUUGACAUUUGCACCCUUUCACGCUCAAUAAAAUUUACUUCUUUGCCUUGUUAAAUACUUCUUGGCUUGAAUCCAACUUGGUAUAAUAUUCAGAUUGUGAUUUUUUUCUUGUUGCAUGCAUUUGCCUAAUAUUUUUGUCCAUUCUAUUAUUUUCACCUUUUCUGAGAACCUGUAUUUGGCAUAGACUUAAACUAUAUGUUGUGACCCAAUCUAAAUCCUUUUUUUUAAAGAGGAGAGUUAGCUCUCUCAUAUUUAUAGAUAUGACAAAUAUAGGAUACCCUAAUCCUGUAUUUCUUCAUAUAGUAUCUAUUAAUUUCCUUCUGUGGCCAAUGGAUAGAAUUAGCGUAUUACCUUUUCCUUUUUGUCUUCUGCUCUACUCCUCUUUCCUACU